CUCACGGAACGGUAGCUAAAACCUCACCAGGACAGCACGGAACUGUGGAGACACAGCUGAAGGCGCCGUCGGAGCCUCAUAUCUGGGCCGGACCCUAGACCCAGCGCUUCAAGGAGCCCCCUGCCUGGAUCACAGAUGAUGUCCAUGUCUCUACUGACAAAAUCAACAUUUCUCACUAAAUUUCACCAGCUGGUACUCCCACCUGGCUGGCUUACUGAGCACUGAGUAAAGAGGCAUUUUUUCCACGGCCAACAUCUGAAAACAGGACUAUCAAGUUCCUGAAUGCCAGAAUGACACUGCAGCCCCAAAGCAUGGACUCAGCGAAUCAAUUUCGAAGAAGACAUAAUGGAGAGAGGCAUAAUAAGAGCAAAUUUGGAGCAACCAUCAGCGCUCUACAGUCUUCAACUCCGCUCCUCACUUUCUGGAUGCAGCAUGGCAAGGGGAGAUUCUACAGCCCAUCCUCAGCAAGGGUCGGUGUGAAACAGCACAAGCCUGGAUUUGGUUAUAAAUGGAGAUUAAUAGAGAAUGACUUUGGGACACUGUAUUAAGAGUUGUACCUGAAACUCCAGUUUCUUAAACGGUGGCAGCCUUAUUUGGAGCUAUGUAACUCAAAGACAGAGUCACAGAAAGGUUCUCAAAAGUAAAUGAUUUUAAAAUGCACAGUGACAAGAAAAAUAAUUGAAAAUAAAGCACAUAAAAAAAAUCUAAGCUUUCUGGCCGUGCUCACCCCAUUGUAUUUUAUACACUUACUGCACCCUUAACUGUGAACAAAUGAUGUGCACUUUACACUGUGUCUGGGAUCACACUGCCUACACGUAGGAACUCUCACCACAGCUUGGAUCACUGGUUCAAGGCACUGUUUCAUUACAUGUACAAUGGUUUCUAGUCUAGCAGAAAUAAGGUGUUUUACACCAACCAGUGAGUAUGCAUGUCCCCUCCAGGUCUUUCUAUCUCCCCCUUCUUUCAUAAGAUUCCCUGCACUCUGCCCAAAGUUUGGCUAUGAUACCCUGCAGAGUAGAGUCUUCCAGAAGCCCUUUGUGGUAGGCUCCUGUCCUGUUCCCUGUUAUCUCCUUCUUCCAAUGUCCAUCCCGUUUGUCUUUCUGAGUAAUGAUUGAUUAUCUCACCCAGGGUCCUCCUUCUUGCUUAGCUUCUUUAGGUGUACAGAUUUUAGUAUGUUUAUCCUAUAUGUUUAAUAUUCACUUAUGUGUGAGUAUAUGCUAUGUAUGUCUUUCUGUUUCUGGAUUACCUCACCAAGAUGAUCUUUUCCAGUUCUCAAAAUGAUACCCCAGCUAAGGACAAUGCAUGGAGAAGACCUAAAACCCCUGCUCAGAUGGUAGUCCAUAGACUCAGUAUCUAAGAGGGAUCCCUAGUAAGGGGAACAGAAGCUGUCUCUGGCAUGAACUCAGUGGCAGGAUCUCUGAUCACCUCCCCCUGGGGGCAGGGUGCAGCCUUGCCAGGUCACUGAGGAAGACAAUGCAACCAGUCCUGAUGAGACUUGAUAGACUUGAUAGACUGGGGUCAAAUAGAAGGGGAAGAGGAUCUUUGUAUCAGUUGAAUAGGGGAGAGGCAUAGGGGAAGAAGAGGGAGGGAAGGUGUGGUUGAGAGAGAAUGAGGGAAGGAGUCACAGCUGAGAUACAAAUUGAAUAAAUUGUAGUAAGUAAUAAUUAAAAAAUUAAGGAAAGAGUAUGUAUGGCUGGACCUGGAACCCGUACUAUAGGUGAUAUGCAGCUUGGUCAUCAUGUGGGUCCCCUAACAAUUGGAGCAGGGACUUUGUUGCUUGCUUUUGCAUCCCUUUUCCUUAGCUGGACUGCCUCCUCUGGCCUCAGUGUGAAAGGGUGCUCUUAGACCUGCUGUGACUUGACGUGCCAAGGUGGAUUGGAACUCAUGGGGGUCUCACCUUCUCUGAGGAGAAAAGGAAUGGGGAAUAGAUGUAAGGAGGUAUGGGUUGGAAUGGGAGGAGGAGGGGGGAGAGCUACAGUUAAGGUAUAAAAUGAAUAAAUAAAUUAAUUAAUGGGAAAUAAAGAAAAAUCAUAUUCAUUUAGUAAAACCCAUAAAAAAGAAAUAGGGUGGUUUAAUUAUGUAAAACAAAGAUCAUUAAUAUAUUCUUGCCACCACUCAGCCUGUAUCAAAUUCAUAUAUCUUGCACUAUUCAUGUGGGAAUGUGUGAUUUGAGACAGUGCUUUUUGAGUUGCUGACUUGAGUUUCAUGAAAGAUUUUGGAAGGGAAUUAAACUCUAGGAUUAGGACAGUCCUUUCAACCAUUUCUGAGGAGGCUCUGAACUUACUUCUACCCAUUUCAUGUUUAUGCAGAGCAGUGUUGUAGUAAACCAAAAUAUUGAGCAAUUCUGAAAACACCCCUGCAUCUUAGAGUAUCACAUACAAAGCCAAGAUAAACAACCACAUCCAUCUUAUUAAUAUGUAAAUUUGCUUUCAUUUCAAAUAAAUCAUCAAAUUACAUCAUGCCAAAGAAUUAUAUUUAAAAAAAAUUCUUUGUGAUUUAUUGUCUGUAAAUGUUUUCUACAUGUGCCUAUUUUAUAUACCCACAUAAGCACUAUUGUGUGAAAGUUUGUUGGGUGAAAAGGGGUCACAAGUACAAAGCUUAAGCAGCCCUGCACUAGAUCAAGGUGACACAUUCCACUCUCUGCGUUGAGCUUUCUUUUAUAAGCGUGUGUCAUAGAAGUCCUCUCAAGUGUCAUUAUUGGUUGUGCGGGCUUUUAUGUCUUGUUUUAUUUUGGGAGGCCUGUGUUUCCUCAGUGGUGGGGCAGUUUUUUGAGGUUCUUAAGAGUAUAAUGGAAUUGCAGCCUUGCAAAGGUCCCCAUUGUCACUGGAUUAUCUUACUGUUUGAUGAUUCUUUCUUCCUCCACUUCAUGUUUUCUAGUGUCCACAUUCUGAUUCUUUAAUGCACUAUGCAAAUAUAAGUAGAAAUGUAAUUUCUUUUCUAACUGAAGACUAUGCGUGUUGGGUUGAAUAACCCUGAGAAUUUGUUUAAAAUCAUGUCUGGCCUAAUGAUGACCUGUUCAGACCUAGAGACCACCAUUCACUUACUCAUUUCGGCAUUGAUUUUUCUUGUGCCUUUUCUAUGCCAUUUAAAAGCUCUCACAGUUUAUAGAGGAGGAGUGCUACACAUCACAGAGUUACUUUGAUUUUCAGCUUUAAUAUAUUGUCAAAAAGACAUUGAGUUAUCAAUAAAUAAAAAGCCACACCUACUUUUAAUUAAAAUCGUUGGCUUCAUGGAAAUGCAAUAGUGAAGCCCUUUUCACAGAAAAGGGUUUUAAAUGCCUCUGUAUAUUAAAUAAAGAUUACCAAUGUUCUAUAUUAAGAAUAUAAUUUUCCCCAAAUAACUUCUAUAAAGGCUAACUUCUUAGUGAAGAAAACACAAACUAAUUUCAAGAUUUCACCUUAAAACUGGAUAAUGUAUCAAAUUUGAAAAAGGUACAGUUACCAACAACUGAGGUGGUUUUGAAAUAAACCUAUUUGUAAUGAACAUCAAAUUUGUUUAUUUAUAUCUUCAGUAUCAUCCAGCCAAAUGCUAUUUAAUUUUCUUCUAAUAUCUGUUUCCUAUUCACUAAAGUAGAGCAGAUAUUCUUUUCUUUUUCUUUUUCUCUUCAAGAAACUGGCAGCCCAAGUUUGCUUCACCUUUGCUUGGCAC
This is a long non-coding RNA of Meriones unguiculatus (Mongolian gerbil), 3648 nucleotides long. RefSeq lists it as uncharacterized. The record is from RefSeq and is a predicted model, not a curated record. The transcript is spliced from 4 exons. Lineage: Eukaryota; Metazoa; Chordata; Mammalia; Rodentia; Muridae.